This 380-nucleotide ribosomal RNA is filed under the name Wardomyces inflatus. RNAcentral describes it as "LSU rRNA". It matches the Rfam family "Eukaryotic large subunit ribosomal RNA", at positions 261 to 662 of the family's 3401-position model. The record is from RNAcentral. Lineage: Eukaryota; Fungi; Ascomycota; Sordariomycetes; Microascales; Microascaceae.
UGAGUNGAGUUGUUUGGGAAUGCUGCUCAAAAUGGGAGGUAAACCCCUUCUAAAGCUAAAUAUUGGCCAGAGACCGAUAGCGCACAAGUAGAGUGAUCGAAAGAUGAAAAGCACUUUGAAAAGAGAGUUAAACAGCACGUGAAAUUGUUGAAAGGGAAGCGCUUGCGACCAGACUUGCGCCCGUCGGAUCAACCGUCCCUCGUGGGCGGCGCACUCCGGCGGGCUCAGGCCAGCAUCAGUUUUCCUGGGGGGAGAAAGGCGGUGGGAAUGUANCUCUUCGGAGUGUUAUAGCCCGCCGCGUAAUACCCCCGGGGGGACUGAGGACCGCGCGAAAGCAAGGAUGCUGGCGUAAUGGUCGUCAGCGACCCGUCUUGAAACAC